Non-coding RNA from Ciona intestinalis (vase tunicate), 776 nucleotides. The record is from RefSeq and is a predicted model, not a curated record. Lineage: Eukaryota; Metazoa; Chordata; Ascidiacea; Phlebobranchia; Cionidae.
CUGAUCGCAAUGGUGCACUGCUUGAUCUUAUUCAAUUCUUUAUUCACGCGUCGGGGUGCAAAGGAACGGUUACUCCAAAAAUGAUGCAAGAAGUUUCUGAAGGUUUUCAGGAUGUGAUAAAACAAAUGACUGAACAGUUUGAUGAGGACAGUGGAGAUUACCCUCUUAUUGCCACUGGUGCCCACCAUCGAAAGUUUCGCUCAAGUUUUUGUGAUUUUGUUCAGGUGAUUGCAGGAUUGUAAAAGUUGUAAAUACGGACGGUGAUCGUUUAAUUUUAUUGAAAAUCCGGACGUAAUAUGUUUUACGUGCAUCUGUCACCCAAGCUACCAAAUCUUGUUAUAAAGCGUAUUACUGACUAUCACCACGACACCACAGUCUAGUGCCGGCGCCUGUGCGAUAGAAACCGUUGUUAAAGCUGCGGUCUAAUGUUUUAUGUUCGUCGCGUGUUCGUAAUAAUCAGUAGGGAUGCACCGGGUCGAAUCCGGGUCCAAUUACCCGGUCGAGUAUCGUCGUUUUCGUGGUAUUCGGACCCGGCUGGGUAUCGCAAUUACUCUGUCCGGGUAAUUUCAUUAAUAUUUUAGUUGUUCGUCAUUUAAUAACCUGGAAAAAAUGGUUUGUACGGCGGGUAUUCAAACGUUUUCAUGGCCCGUUAAUCCAUGUUCUUGCGCAACAAAGUCCGACGUAACAUUUCGUACUAUGACGUAACAAACAUACCUUCAUUCGAGUUGCGCAAUACUGUGCGUAAAAAUAAACUAAACGCAUUUAUGUAUACUAUA